GUUUAUAUAGUUUAAUAAAAACGCUACAUUUUCAAUGUAGAGAUAAAAUUUUAUAUUUUUAUAAAUU
RNAcentral lists this transfer RNA (67 nucleotides) under Bactrocera curvifera. RNAcentral describes it as "tRNA-Glu". It matches the Rfam family "tRNA". From Rfam's summary of the family: Transfer RNA (tRNA) molecules are approximately 80 nucleotides in length. Their secondary structure includes four short double-helical elements and three loops (D, anti-codon, and T loops). The record is from RNAcentral. Lineage: Eukaryota; Metazoa; Arthropoda; Insecta; Diptera; Tephritidae.